This 493-nucleotide ribosomal RNA is filed under the name uncultured Chloroflexota bacterium. RNAcentral's name for it is "bacterial SSU rRNA". It matches the Rfam family "Bacterial small subunit ribosomal RNA", at positions 355 to 851 of the family's 1533-position model. Lineage: Bacteria; Bacillati; Chloroflexota. The record is from RNAcentral.
UAAGGGAUAUUGCACAAUGGGCGCAAGCCUGAUGCAGCAACGCCGCGUGCCCGAUGAAGGCCUUCGGGUCGUAAAGGGCUUUUCUGGCUGAAGAAGGCGGCUUGACCGUUUGACAGUAAGCCAGGAAUAAGUGUCGGCUAACUACGUGCCAGCAGCCGCGGUAAAACGUAGGAGGCGAGCGUUAUCCGGAUUCACUGGGCGUAAAGCGCGUGCAGGUGGCCUGGUAAGUUAGGCGUGAAAUCUCCCGGCUCAACUGGGAGAGGUCGUCUAAUACUACCGGGCUUGAGAGCAGAAGAGGAAGAUGAAAUUCCCGGUGUAGUGGUGAAAUGCGUAGAUAUCGGGAGGAACACCAGUGGCGAAGGCGAUCUUCUGGUCUGUUUCUGACACUCAGACGCGACAGCUAGGGUAGUAAACGGGAUUAGAGACCCCGGUAAUCCUAGCCGUAAACGAUGUAAACUUGGCGUUGGUGGGUUAAACUCCAUCAGUGCCGCAG